CUCUUCGGGGAUGAUUAAACCGGCGCACGGGUGAGUAACACGUGAGUGACCUGCCUUUUAGACUGGAACAACUUACCGAAAGGUGAGCUAAUGCCGGAUGAGUUAUAUAAGUGCAUGUUUAUAUAGGAAAAGUUGGGGAGACCUGACGCUGAAAGAUGGACUCGCGUCCCAUUAGCUAGUUGGUAGGGUAAUGGCCUACCAAGGCGACGAUGGGUAGCCGGCCUGAGAGGGUGGCCGGCCACACUGGGACUGUGACACGGCCCAGACUCCUACGGGAGGCAGCAGUGGGGAAUUUUGCGCAAUGCUCGUAAGAGUGACGCAGCGACGCCGCGUGAAUGACGAAGGCCUUCGGGUCGUAAAGUUCUUUCGACAGGGAAGAAAAUGCCUAUAAGUAACUGUGUAUGUAUUGACGGUACCUGUAUAAGCAGCCCCGGCUAACUCCGUGCCAGCAGCCGCGGUAAUACGGAGGGGGCGAGCGUUGUUCGGAGUGACUGGGCGUAAAGAGCACGUAGGCGGUGUUGUAAGUCAUUAGUCAAAGACUAGAGCUCAACUUUAGUAAGGCUAGUGAUACUAUAAUACUAGAGUAUCAGAGAGGAUUGCAGAAUUCCUGGUGUAGCGGUGAAAUGCGUAGAUAUCAGGAGGAAUACCGUUAGCGAAGGCGGCAAUCUGGCUGGAAACUGACGCUGAGGUGCGAAAGCGUGGGUAGCAAACAGGAUUAGAUACCCUGGUAGUCCACGCUGUAAACGAUGGAUGCUANGUGUUGGGCUUUUAAGUUC
This 776-nucleotide ribosomal RNA is filed under the name uncultured bacterium. Its description in RNAcentral is "bacterial SSU rRNA". It matches the Rfam family "Bacterial small subunit ribosomal RNA", at positions 76 to 841 of the family's 1533-position model. The record is from RNAcentral.